GAGCCUGCGGCUUAAUUUGACUCAACACGGGGAAACUCACCAGGUCCAGACACAAUGAGGAUUGACAGAUUGAGAGCUCUUUCUUGAUUUUGUGGGUGGUGGUGCAUGGCCGUUCUUAGUUGGUGGAGUGAUUUGUCUGCUUAAUUGCGAUAACGAACGAGACCUUAACCUGCUAAAUAGUCAGUAUUGCUAUGGCAGUACGCGGGCUUCUUAGAGGGACUAUCGGCUCAAGCCGAUGGAAGUUUGAGGCAAUAACAGGU
Molecule: ribosomal RNA, 260 nt
Filed under: Cordyceps sp. ATCC 36337
Lineage: Eukaryota; Fungi; Ascomycota; Sordariomycetes; Hypocreales; Cordycipitaceae
Description: partial 18S ribosomal RNA
Rfam family: Eukaryotic small subunit ribosomal RNA
Source: RNAcentral